This 486-nucleotide ribosomal RNA is filed under the name uncultured bacterium. RNAcentral describes it as "partial 16S ribosomal RNA". It matches the Rfam family "Bacterial small subunit ribosomal RNA", at positions 28 to 507 of the family's 1533-position model. The record is from RNAcentral.
GACGAACGCUGACGGCGUGCUUAACACAUGCAAGUCGAACGGGCUCUGUCUGGCUGUGUGCUGGGUGGGGUUAGUGGCGAACGGGUGAGUAAUACGUGAGUAACCUGCCCUCUUCUUUGGGAUAAGCCUUGGAAACGGGGUCUAAUACUGGAUAUUCCUGUCUGGUCGCAUGGCUGGGUGGGGAAAGUUUUUUCGGUGGGGGAUGGGCUCGCGGCCUAUCAGCUUGUUGGUGGGGUGAUGGCCUACCAAGGCGUCGACGGGUAGCCGGCCUGAGAGGGUGACCGGCCACACUGGGACUGAGAUACGGCCCAGACUCCUACGGGAGGCAGCAGUGGGGGAUAUUGCACAAUGGGCGCAAGCCUGAUGCAGCGACGCCGCGUGGGGGAUGACGGCUUUCGGGUUGUAAACCUCUUUCGUCGGGGGACAAGGCUCUGCUUGGUGGUGGGGUUGAGGGUACCCGGUGAAGAAGCGCCGGCUAACUACGUG